Pectinophora gossypiella (pink bollworm) is the source of this 1551-nucleotide RNA transcript. It is a transcript of the gene named KH domain-containing, RNA-binding, signal transduction-associated protein 3-like, with no coding region annotated. NCBI's taxonomy places the organism in Eukaryota, Metazoa, Arthropoda, Insecta, Lepidoptera, Gelechiidae. The transcript has 9 exons. The record is from RefSeq and is a predicted model, not a curated record.
AACACAAUUUGUUAUUCUUGUUUGACGUUUCGCCGCGUCUGCUAGAUACCGCUAAAUACACAGCGCGGCAUUAAAUAUUUUGCAACAGAAAUAAUUUACGUGAUUGUUAUUAUAUUACAUUAAGUAAGAUGGCUGAAAAAUACGAAAAGAAUGGAUACAACAGCAGCGACUUCAAGCGCAAUUCUAACCAGAAUUUGCAAGGCGAGGACGAUCCUAUGGAAGGCAAACAUAGCCAGGAAGGAAUGAAAAUAAACGAUAAAGCCGGCGAAUACUUGAGACAUCUUUUGGGCGAGAAAAUCCAACUCAACAAUGCAAAAUUUCCCAUGUCUUACAAACUUAUCGACCAAGAGGUGGCUAAAGUACAAGCAACAGGCAGAAUACCUAUAAAGGACAGUAAAUACUUGGAUGUAUACCGUGAGAAACCUGCUAAGGUGACGGUGAAAGUCCUGGUGCCCGUCAAAGAGUUUCCAAAGUUCAACUUCGUCGGCAAGCUUCUGGGUCCGAAAGGCAACACAAUGAAAUACUUGCAAGAGGAGACCAUGUGCAAAAUGGCUGUGCUUGGACGAGGAUCCAUGAGAGACAGACAAAAAGAGGAAGAGUUAAGGAACUCAUUGGACCCAAAAUACGCACAUUUGACGGACGAGCUGCACGUUGAGAUAUCAGCCCAGGCUCCUCCAGCAGAGGCCCAUGCCAGGGUCGCGUACGCCCUCGCCGAAGUGAAGAAAUACCUGAUACCUGAUGCCAAUGACAUGAUCAGGCAGAACCAGAUGAGGGACAUCAUGGAGAGGGGUGGGGGCGCGCCGCGGCCGCCGCUGCUAGACCCGCCCGGGGCUCCCGAGAGCGUGCUGUACAGUGCAUGCACCGUCACCAAACGUUCAUUCUCCUACCAGGAUCCUGUCUUGCCAGCCCCCCACCAGAGGGCAGGCCCGCCCGGCCGCGCUCCGCCGCGCAUGGCGCCAGCGCCGCCGACAAUGGGCCGCCCGAUGCCCCCCAAGACCAAAGUCAUCAGUAUACUGGACCGAGCACGCAGCGCCAUGGAGUCUUCGUACUCUACCUACGAUGAUCCCUAUGCUUCGGAGUCUGCUGGAGGCUAUGCCACCCAGCGCGGUCCCCCACCGCGGUCGGCCCCGGACAACGACUUCUACUACGAGCGUAACGAGCGUUAUUACGAUGAAGAAUCCUACUAUAAAGAAGCCCCCCCGGCGCGCGAGUUCAAGGCGUCAGCGCGCGACGUGGGCACGCGGCGGGCCGGGCCCGCGCCGCACCAGCACUACGCGCGGGCCACGCCCUACGCGCGCCCGCCCAAGUAGCGACCGUUAUGUUGGUAUUACGAGCCACGCAGGCGCGGAGGAGCCCACACAAACCGCAAGGAGGGAAGAAGCGUCCGCAAUAAGGUGAGUUUAGUUUAGUACUGGAUCUAGACAACAUUAAAAAAAAAUGGAAGAUAACCGAAAUACCCGCUAACAAAAAUAGAAGACUAAACGCCAGCAAAAAAUUAACAAAAACGACUAAAACAUAUCCAGCGAUCGAUUCAGAUAUUUAACGGACACA